CCUACGGGAGGCAGCAGUGGGGAAUAUUGGGCAAUGGACGCAAGCCUGACCCAGCAACGCCGCGUGCAGGAAGACGGCUCUAUGAGUUGUAAACUGCUUUUGUACGAGGGUAAAUCCCGAUACGUGUAUCGGGUUGAAAGUAUCGUACGAAUAAGGAUCGGCUAACUCCGUGCCAGCAGCCGCGGUAAUACGGAGGAUUCAAGCGUUAUCCGGAUUUAUUGGGUUUAAAGGGUGCGUAGGCGGUUCGAUAAGUUAGUGGUGAAAGCCCGGGGCUCAACUCCGGCAUUGCAUUUGAUACUGUGUGGCUAGAGUGUAGCUGCGGUAGGCGGAAUGCAUGGUGUAGCGGUGAAAUGCAUAGAGAUCAUACAGAACACCGAUUGCGAAGGCAGCUUACCAAGCUACUUCUGACGUUGAGGCACGAAAGUGUGGGGAGCAAACAGGAUUAGAUACCCGGGUAGUC
Molecule: ribosomal RNA, 460 nt
Filed under: uncultured bacterium
Lineage: Bacteria
Description: partial 16S ribosomal RNA
Rfam family: Bacterial small subunit ribosomal RNA
Source: RNAcentral